AUCUAAAUAGUUUAUUAAAAAUUUUAAUUUGUGGAGUUAAGGAUAUGAAGAUUCAUUUUAGAUA
This 64-nucleotide transfer RNA is filed under the name Strophosoma melanogrammum. RNAcentral describes it as "tRNA-His". Lineage: Eukaryota; Metazoa; Arthropoda; Insecta; Coleoptera; Curculionidae. The record is from RNAcentral.